RNAcentral lists this ribosomal RNA (2789 nucleotides) under Salmonella enterica subsp. enterica serovar Infantis. RNAcentral describes it as "bacterial LSU rRNA". It matches the Rfam family "Bacterial large subunit ribosomal RNA". Lineage: Bacteria; Pseudomonadati; Pseudomonadota; Gammaproteobacteria; Enterobacterales; Enterobacteriaceae. The record is from RNAcentral.
UUAAGCGACUAAGCGUACACGGUGGAUGCCCUGGCAGUCAGAGGCGAUGAAGGGCGUGCUAAUCUGCGAUAAGCGCCGGUAAGGUGAUAUGAACCGUUAUAACCGGCGAUACCCGAAUGGGGAAACCCAGUGUGACUCGUCACACUAUCAUUAACUGAAUCCAUAGGUUAAUGAGGCGAACCGGGGGAACUGAAACAUCUAAGUACCCCGAGGAAAAGAAAUCAACCGAGAUUCCCCCAGUAGCGGCGAGCGAACGGGGAGGAGCCCAGAGCCUGAAUCAGCAUGUGUGUUAGUGGAAGCGUCUGGAAAGGCGCGCGAUACAGGGUGACAGCCCCGUACACAAAAGCGCAUGUGCUGUGAGCUCGAUGAGUAGGGCGGGACACGUGGUAUCCUGUCUGAAUAUGGGGGGACCAUCCUCCAAGGCUAAAUACUCCUGACUGACCGAUAGUGAACCAGUACCGUGAGGGAAAGGCGAAAAGAACCCCGGCGAGGGGAGUGAAAAAGAACCUGAAACCGUGUACGUACAAGCAGUGGGAGCACAGGUUUACCUGUGUGACUGCGUACCUUUUGUAUAAUGGGUCAGCGACUUAUAUUCUGUAGCAAGGUUAACCGAAUAGGGGAGCCGGAGGGAAACCGAGUCUUAAUUGGGCGUUAAGUUGCAGGGUAUAGACCCGAAACCCGGUGAUCUAGCCAUGGGCAGGUUGAAGGUUGGGUAACACUAACUGGAGGACCGAACCGACUAAUGUUGAAAAAUUAGCGGAUGACCUGUGGCUGGGGGUGAAAGGCCAAUCAAACCGGGAGAUAGCUGGUUCUCCCCGAAAGCUAUUUAGGUAGCGCCUCGUGAAUUCAUCUCCGGGGGUAGAGCACUGUUUCGGCUAGGGGGCCAUCCCGGCUUACCAACCCGAUGCAAACUGCGAAUACCGGAGAAUGUUAUCACGGGAGACACACGGCGGGUGCUAACGUCCGUCGUGAAGAGGGAAACAACCCAGACCGCCAGCUAAGGUCCCAAAGUCAUGGUUAAGUGGGAAACGAUGUGGGAAGGCCCAGACAGCCAGGAUGUUGGCUUAGAAGCAGCCAUCAUUUAAAGAAAGCGUAAUAGCUCACUGGUCGAGUCGGCCUGCGCGGAAGAUGUAACGGGGCUAAACCAUGCACCGAAGCUGCGGCAGCGANNGUUGGGUAGGGGAGCGUUCUGUAAGCCUGCGAAGGUGGCCUGUGAGGGUUGCUGGAGGUAUCAGAAGUGCGAAUGCUGACAUAAGUAACGAUAAAGCGGGUGAAAAGCCCGCUCGCCGGAAGACCAAGGGUUCCUGUCCAACGUUAAUCGGGGCAGGGUGAGUCGACCCCUAAGGCGAGGCCGAAAGGCGUAGUCGAUGGGAAACGGGUUAAUAUUCCCGUACUUGGUGUUACUGCGAAGGGGGGACGGAGAAGGCUAUGUUGGCCGGGCGACGGUUGUCCCGGUUUAAGCGUGUAGGUGUGUGUUCCAGGUAAAUCCGGUUCACUUUAACACUGAGGCGUGAUGACGAGGCACUACGGUGCUGAAGCAACAAAUGCCCUGCUUCCAGGAAAAGCCUCUAAGCAUCAGGUAACAUCAAAUCGUACCCCAAACCGACACAGGUGGUCAGGUAGAGAAUACCAAGGCGCUUGAGAGAACUCGGGUGAAGGAACUAGGCAAAAUGGUGCCGUAACUUCGGGAGAAGGCACGCUGACACGUAGGUGAAGUGAUUUACUCAUGGAGCUGAAGUCAGUCGAAGAUACCAGCUGGCUGCAACUGUUUAUUAAAAACACAGCACUGUGCAAACACGAAAGUGGACGUAUACGGUGUGACGCCUGCCCGGUGCCGGAAGGUUAAUUGAUGGGGUCAGCGCAAGCGAAGCUCCUGAUCGAAGCCCCGGUAAACGGCGGCCGUAACUAUAACGGUCCUAAGGUAGCGAAAUUCCUUGUCGGGUAAGUUCCGACCUGCACGAAUGGCGUAAUGAUGGCCAGGCUGUCUCCACCCGAGACUCAGUGAAAUUGAACUCGCUGUGAAGAUGCAGUGUACCCGCGGCAAGACGGAAAGACCCCGUGAACCUUUACUAUAGCUUGACACUGAACAUUGAGCCUUGAUGUGUAGGAUAGGUGGGAGGCUUUGAAGCGUGGACGCCAGUCUGCGUGGAGCCGACCUUGAAAUACCACCCUUUAAUGUUUGAUGUUCUAACGUGGACCCGUAAUCCGGGUUGCGGACAGUGUCUGGUGGGUAGUUUGACUGGGGCGGUCUCCUCCUAAAGAGUAACGGAGGAGCACGAAGGUUGGCUAAUCCUGGUCGGACAUCAGGAGGUUAGUGCAAUGGCAUAAGCCAGCUUGACUGCGAGCGUGACGGCGCGAGCAGGUGCGAAAGCAGGUCAUAGUGAUCCGGUGGUUCUGAAUGGAAGGGCCAUCGCUCAACGGAUAAAAGGUACUCCGGGGAUAACAGGCUGAUACCGCCCAAGAGUUCAUAUCGACGGCGGUGUUUGGCACCUCGAUGUCGGCUCAUCACAUCCUGGGGCUGAAGUAGGUCCCAAGGGUAUGGCUGUUCGCCAUUUAAAGUGGUACGCGAGCUGGGUUUAGAACGUCGUGAGACAGUUCGGUCCCUAUCUGCCGUGGGCGCUGGAGAACUGAGGGGGGCUGCUCCUAGUACGAGAGGACCGGAGUGGACGCAUCACUGGUGUUCGGGUUGUCAUGCCAAUGGCACUGCCCGGUAGCUAAAUGCGGAAGAGAUAAGUGCUGAAAGCAUCUAAGCACGAAACUUGCCCCGAGAUGAGUUCUCCCUGAGACUU